Molecule: non-coding RNA, 72 nt
Organism: Fukomys damarensis (Damara mole-rat)
Lineage: Eukaryota; Metazoa; Chordata; Mammalia; Rodentia; Bathyergidae
Source: Rfam
CUCCCCGAGGGCUCCUGUAGCUCAGGGGGCAGGCCCGAGCCCUGCGUCCACCCCACGGCCCCGCCGUCCAGU